This 264-nucleotide unclassified non-coding RNA is filed under the name air metagenome. RNAcentral describes it as "partial contains small subunit ribosomal RNA, internal transcribed spacer 1, and 5.8S ribosomal RNA". The stretch from base 1 to 46 matches the Rfam family "Eukaryotic small subunit ribosomal RNA", at positions 1786 to 1831 of the family's 1831-position model. The record is from RNAcentral.
AAGUCGUAACAAGGUUUCCGUAGGUGAACCUGCGGAAGGAUCAUUACACUCAGUAGUUUACUACUGUUAAAGAGGCUGUCAGUCUGUAUAGCUCAACCGCUGAUGAGCAGCGUGCCUCUUUUCUCCACCCUUGUCUUUUGCGUACCCAUGUUUCCUCGGCAGGCUUGCCUGUCGAUUGGACAAUUCUAUAACCUUUUUAAUAUUUAAUCAGCGUCUGAAAAAACUUAAUAAUUACAACUUUCAACAACGGAUCUCUUGGUUCUG